ACUGUGCUAAGGUAGCAUAAUCACUUGCCACUUAAUUGGUCGCUCGAAUAAAAGGCUGGACAAGAGGUUCCCUGUCUCCCUAGUUAUUGAAUAAUUUAAUUUUAAAGUAAAAAAUCUCUAAUCACCUGAAAGGACGAUAAGACCCUAGAAUCUUAAAUUCAAUUUUACUGGGAAGGUAAGGCUAAACCCUAACCUCACCUUAACUCCUUGUUUGAAACAUUUACCUACUAGAUCUAUCCCCAUUCAAGAUACUCUAGGGAUAACAGCGUAAUUAGCUUCUAGAGCUCUAAUCGAUAAGCUAGCUUACGACCUCGAUGUUGAAUUAUCUUCCCCUCUUUGAGAAGAAUCUCCGCUGGGAGGUCUGUUCGACCUUUAUAUAGAUACGUGAUCUGAG
Molecule: ribosomal RNA, 394 nt
Filed under: Burmoniscus dasystylus
Lineage: Eukaryota; Metazoa; Arthropoda; Malacostraca; Isopoda; Philosciidae
Description: partial 16S ribosomal RNA
Rfam family: Bacterial large subunit ribosomal RNA
Source: RNAcentral